CAAUUUCUUUCUGUCUUUUUUUAAGAAUUUAAAUUAAAAAGAAAGAAGAGGGAGAUAAAAAAAAAAAAAGGUAUGAAAGAUUCCCUAUUACAGUGGGCGUCUGCAGGAGUGACAGCGAGUUAAAGAGAGGACAUUCUUUUUCCGGUGUCUGAGACCAAGUAGAACACAACGGAAACCGAACAAAACCGAACAUAAAAAAAAUAAUGGUUGUUAAUACACGGGCUCACUGUACUCCUCCACUGAGUUCACCUCACCUACUCGCUCCUCCCUUGCUUUCUUUAAACGGAGGCAGCCCAUUUUCUUAUACGAAGCUCCGAACCCAAGAAUCGUUUUAGUUCGCUGAGAAAAGCUUAAUUCGGAAGGGUGAGGAUCCAUGAGAUCCGUUGAGGAGUCCGAAUCUAUGACGGGUAACUCAUCAGCUCCAUCGGCUAUUGAUUUCCCUACAUUGUGCCAUCGAUUGAAGAUCACAAAACUGAAGGGAUGGAUCAACCAUUGGAUAAAGGGUCCUGAAUCAAUUGCUGACCAUAUGUACAGUGUGUCAUUGAUGGCUCUGAUUGCUGAUGAUUGUUUUAGUUCGCUGUGAAAAGCUGAACUCAGAAAGGUUAAACAGUUUAUAUCAUGAGAAGACUUGUGUUUUUCUUUCUUUGUGUGCACUUUCAAGAAAGUCAAUGUGUGUAUUUACACUCUUGAAUCAUGGGGCAGAAUAGACCAAUUUAUAAAUGAUUUAACUACAUAAAUGUUAUGAUUAAUUGGAAACAAAUGGUUUGAUGCCAUGCUAAGAUACAAGGGAAGAUUAUUGGGCUUUAAUCAAACAGGAAAGUCUUGGGUUAUCAAUCAGAAGAGAGAAACCAGAGAUUCAAUUUGCUAUUAGACUAAAUCAUUUUUUUUGUCUUUUGAGGAGAAUAGAGGCAGGAUGGUGUUGGAUAUCUGAUUAACUCUACUUGUUGAUACUGUAUCUAGCACCCAUAUAAUUUACAGGUCCUUAAAAAAGUCACCUAAUGUAUUCCUGUAGUUUUCAUUCUUAAAACAAGCCAUUGUUGCAAAUUUACCACUUAAAUUAGCUUUGAGCGACACUUGGUUGCCUCGUAUUUUGGACAGAGUAGACUGGUAGAAAAAGAUGGUAUUAUGUUGGAUUCUUUUAAUUGAUCAAUAUGGUUGAUAAAUGAUAUGUUAUUUCCAUUGAUACAGGUUCAUUUAUGCUCUAAUGGAAAUUUACAUGAUUCUUUGAGAAUGUAUAGGGCAUGGAUUUGGUGGUGGUAUGGGCCUAUGUGGGGGCGCGGGGUUAUGGUAUUUUGCGUAAGCAAAAUCAUAUCUUGAAUCCAUAAUGUUUUUUUUUUUUUUUUUGAAAAUAGCUCCUUGCUGCAUAAAUGGCUCGAUGUUUUACUUGUACUGCUUCAGCCUUGGCAUGUCAUGAAUAGAUCACCACCUCAGGAAAAAAAUGGACUAAAUUAUUGGAGAAUAGAUCUCUCACUUAAAACUGAAUUUUGGCUAAAAAUUAGGAGAGCAGAUAUCAAUGUGUUUCAUGAGCACAUUUGACACUGUUAAUUUGUCACUAUUUGACUCUUGUCAGGCCAUAAAAGUAAAACGUACAAGUUGAUGCUCCAAAGCCAUAAUAGUCCACAGAGCAUACCCAAGCUUACACCUAAUGAGUAAGAGAACAAUGUGUGUCUGCAAAUAUUUGUUUUGCAGUCAGAAAUCAGAAUCGUGUAUUGUUGAUGAUUGUAGAAUGGGAGAAGAGCCCUACAACAACAACAGCAUUGAUUGGGGAUUCUAUUCCAUGUUUGUAAUAGUUCUCUUUUUAUAUAUCUAAUUGAGCUUAUUGUGUUUUACUUUUGCAAAAUAUGCACAUAUAUUUUGUUGGAGUUUUGAAUUUUGAGUUGGGAUUUGGACUUUGAUAGCUAUUGUUGGAGAUAUAACAAUAUCAAAUGGUGUGCCUAAACAAGAAAAGAGUAGGCUGGAGCAAGCGGCUUUAAAUGAAAUGUGUUGAGUUCUUGGUGGACUGAGGGUUACUCAAAUACUGACUCUUGCUAUCUUGACUUUUAGCAGUUUCAGCUUUGAGUUUUCUGGAACUAAAUAUUUUCAUUUUUUCAGCUGAAGAGAUCAAAGAGUUAUGGGCAGAGUAUGAAAACAAUGCUUCCUUGGAGGCCAACCUUGUCGAAGACUUUGACAAAGUUUGAAUUUUUGAAUGAUGCUAUAAAGGAACAGGUCUAUGGUUCCAAAUGCUUCUUCAAUUGAUUUUCUUGCUAUUGCAAUGUGCGGUGAAAGUCAUUGAAACACAGGACAGUAUUCAAAUCAAUUGUGUUUGCCAGGUGUGUCAUAUAUCCCCAUCUACUUUUGAAUUAUUGAUGACCAGUCUUUUGGAAAAGCUGCAGGAAGCUGUUUCUGAUGGCCGUUAUGUGUUAAGGAUUAAGGGAAUUAUUAAAAAUAAAAUAAAAACGUUAAAGUAGUUUGGUUACUGCCCAGGGACUUCUUCCAUCCACUGACAUUGUGAUCCUCCUCAAUUUGUGUUUAAUAUGUUCACCGGUUGCUGUUGAAAUGUUUGGUGACUCCCUUUCUCUCGCUAGAUGUUCACUCGGAAAACUUCCCAGUGUUAAUGCUAUAAAAAGCUUCUACUGGAAUCAACUUCAAUGUGUUAAACCAAUGAAGUUUUACGCUCUCCUGAAGCAAAUCCAUAAACCACAUUUUCUUAUAGCACUUGAUUUGCAUUUAUAUUUGUAUAUCCCUUCCCAUGUUCAAUUCUUUGUUAGCAAUCUAAAGUUCCGAGUCUCAUGUUUAGGUUGAGAUGAUUUUGCGAGCACUGGAAUAUGAAAUGGGUAGGUUAUCUGAUGAAAUUAAAUGUUCCGCUUCCAAGGAAUUCUCAUUCGAUGUCAUGUUUUCACAGAACAAGGGAAGGUGUUGGAUGAGUUUUUCUUUUCAGCAGCAGGAAAAUUUCGAACUGCGAUAGGAAAGAGCUGGGCAGCUGAGAUUUCUUCAAGAAGAAACUCUAUUCUGGCCAGGAAGCAAAACUGAUCUCCUCGUCCAUCCACUCAUUUUUUAUCCUUCCCUUUCAGGUUGAGACAUUCCCUUGGCUACUGCUGUCUGUCUAACUGAUACGCUCUCGUUGCAGGACCUGGUUUGGUCGUUGAGUAUGGAAGGAUAACUGAUUAGAUUGAAUCCAGAGGUAGCCGAAGAGGUUCAUUCCCGAGUCGUCACAGGGUUUGUCAUAGGCAACUAACGACCAAAGAGUUCUAAUUCCAGAAUUUAGUGUAACGACUGUUGUAUCCAGUAAUGCUUAAAUUUCAAAGGAAAGUGUAAUAAUAUUUUUGUUUUCUUGUGAAAAGUUCAGUAAGGGGUUGCAAUUUUCA
Populus trichocarpa (black cottonwood) is the source of this 3344-nucleotide RNA transcript. RefSeq lists it as uncharacterized. The record is from RefSeq and is a predicted model, not a curated record. NCBI's taxonomy places the organism in Eukaryota, Viridiplantae, Streptophyta, Magnoliopsida, Malpighiales, Salicaceae. The transcript has 3 exons.